GACGAACGCUGGCGACGUGCCUAAUACAUGCAAGUCGAACGCUGAAGGAGGAGCUUGCUCUUCUGGAUGAGUUGCGAACGGGUGAGUAACGCGUAGGUAACCUGCCUGGUAGUGGGGGAUAACUAUUGGAAACGAUAGCUAAUACCGCAUAAUAACAGUUGUUGCAUGACAACUGUUUGAAAGGUGCAAUUGCAUCACUACCAGAUGGACCUGCGUUGUAUUAGCUAGUUGGUGGGGUAACGGCUCACCAAGGCGACGAUACAUAGCCGACCUGAGAGGGUGAUCGGCCACACUGGGACUGAGACACGGCCCAGACUCCUACGGGAGGCAGCAGUAGGGAAUCUUCGGCAAUGGACGAAAGUCUGACCGAGCAACGCCGCGUGAGUGAAGAAGGGUUUCGGAUCGUAAAGCUCUGUUGUAAGAGAAGAACGAGUGUGAGAGUGGAAAGUUCACACUGUGACGGUAUCUUACCAGAAAGGGACGGCUAACUACGUG
This 495-nucleotide ribosomal RNA is filed under the name uncultured bacterium. RNAcentral's name for it is "partial 16S ribosomal RNA". It matches the Rfam family "Bacterial small subunit ribosomal RNA", at positions 28 to 507 of the family's 1533-position model. The record is from RNAcentral.